CGGGCAUGGAGAAUUUGGGGCCUUUGACUUUCCCAUCCACGCUCAGCUCUGGAGCCUCCACGUCCACGCUGGGGCCCGAAACGGCCACGUCACCCUUGGGGAGGGUCAGGUCCACGUCCACCCCAUCCCCUUUGAAGCCGGGCAUGGAGAAUUUGGGCAUCUUGAACUUGGGCAGUUUGAAUUUGCCCUCAGGGCUGUCGAUGGUGACGUCGGGGACGGCGACGUUGACCUCGGGACCUUUCAACUCUCCUUCCACGCUGGGCAGGGACACGUCCACGUCACCUUUGACCUUGGGGCCCUUCAGGUUCAGGUCGAUGUCGGGCAUGGAGAUCUUGGGAGCCUUGAUGUGCAUCUCAGGCAUCUUGAACUUGGGGCCCUUCAGUUUUCCUUCAGGACCCUCAAUGUCCAGCUCUGGACCUUCAAUGUCCACCUUGGGGCCGGACACAUCCAGGUUUCCUGUCGGGAGGUUCACGUCCACCUCGGGACCUUCAGCCUUGAUGCCGGACAUCCCAAAUUUGGGCAUCUUGAACUUGGGCAUCUUGAAUUUUCCCUCAGGGCCAUGGAUGUCGACGUCGGGUGCCUCAAUGUCCACUUUGGGGCCUUUGAUGUCCAGUUCAGGACCCUUCAGGUCACCCUCCAGCUUGGGAACAGAAACAUCGAUGUCCCCCUUGACCUUGGGUCCUUUGAGGUUGAAGUCGACGUCGGGCAUGGAGAUCUUGGGGGCCUUGAUGUGCAUCUCGGGCAUCUUGAACUUGGGGCCUUUGAUCUUCCCUUCGGGACCUUCAAUGUCCACAUCAGGGAGAUCAACAUUGACUUUGGGGCCUUUGAUGUCGAUGUCUGGGGCUUUGAGGUCCCCCUCGAGCUUUGGAGCAGAGACAUCGAUGACCCCCUUCAAUUUGGGACCUUUCAGGUUGAAGUCGACGUCGGGCAUGGAAAUCUUGGGGGCCUUGAUGUUCAUCUCGGGCAUGGAGAAUUUGGGGCCUUUGACUUUCCCAUCCACGCUCAGCUCAGGAGCCUCCACGUCCACGCUGGGGCCCGAAACGGACACAUCACCCUUGGGGAGGGUCAGGUCCACGUCCACCCCAUCCCCUUUGAAGCC
This 1099-nucleotide long non-coding RNA is filed under the name Cyanistes caeruleus (blue tit). Its description in RNAcentral is "lncRNA (ENSCCEG00000001090.1)". Lineage: Eukaryota; Metazoa; Chordata; Aves; Passeriformes; Paridae. The record is from RNAcentral.